This 1663-nucleotide long non-coding RNA is filed under the name Homo sapiens (human). RNAcentral's name for it is "HSALNT0122434". Lineage: Eukaryota; Metazoa; Chordata; Mammalia; Primates; Hominidae. The record is from RNAcentral.
GGGUGACAGGGUGAGACUCUGUCUCAAAAAACAAAACAAAACAAAACAAAACAAAAUAAAAAUAAAACCCAAGACCCUAGCAAGGCAGAGACACACAAGCAGCUGGAUGUUGUAAGGAAUACAUCGGUGGAAGAAGACAUAAGUGGCUGGUUGUCAAGAGCAUGCCGAAGGAAGAGCACACUGACAGGCACCAGCAGGCCAGCACACCAGUAGGCCAACAACUGGCAGAACGACAUGGAGUUUGGCCGAGGCAGCUGGAAGAGAGCCCAGGCUGCCGAGUGGCCCGACUCCAGGGGAAAACAGUCUCCCUCUGGCUCCCUCGUCUGCUGAGAGCUACUUCCAGUCAAUAAAACCUUGCACUCAUUCUCCAAGCCCACAUGUGAUCUGAUUCUUCCAGUACACCAAGGCAAGAAACCUUGGGGUACAGAAAGCCCUCUGCCCUUGUGACAAGGUAGAGGGUCUAAUUGAGCUGACCAACACAAGCCACCUAUAGAUGGCAGGCUAAAAGAGCACCCUGUAACACACGCCCACUGGGGCUUCAGGGGCCAUAAACAUUCAUUCCUAGACAUUGGCAUGGGGUCAGAGCCCACAGCCUGCCCGUCUGUAUGCUCCCCUAGAGGUUUGAGCAGCUGGGCACUGAAGAAGUGAGUCACACCCCCAUCACACUCCCUGCAAGGGGAGCAAGGGAACCUUUCCCAUUUCAACUGGGGGCUCGCCCGGGAUCCUGGAAGAAACCCUCAAACUCCAAACCGUCAGGCAACCGGAGCCUCAAACGAUGGCUCCCCUUUGCUAGGAACCCUUAGAUAGACCUCUGGGAGGAGUCUGACUGCCGUUUUCCCCAAAACAACGCCCCUGUCAACAGGAAACAGCUAAGACCGGUCAUCGUCCAUAUUCUAGUGGCAGUUAGAUGUACCUCUUUAAAGGGGGGAUAUGAUAAGGGAGUGCUGGGAAGGGAAGAGCGUGGUCCCUUUAAAUGAUACAGAAGCAGAGAGGGGAAGAGCUGGGUAGAAGAAGGCGGGUUCCUGGCUAGGGCUUCACCCCCAAGGACCUAGGUGAGGACAGGCACUUCUGCUUUCACGUCCAAAUGUUGCAAUUUCCAAGACCACCCUGGCCCACCACCACCUGGCCCCAUCCUGGGCCUAUAAAAACUGAGACCUUAACAAGGCAGAGACACACAAGCGACUGGACAUUGUGAGGAACACAUAGGUGGAAGAAGACACAAGCGGCUGAUCGUCGAGAGCACGCAGGCAGAAGAGCACAUUGACAGGCACCGGCAUGCCCGCAGGCCAUCAACUGGUGUAAUGACAUGGAGUUUGGCUGGGGCAGUCUGAGGAGAGCCUGGGCUGCCGAGCUGCCCAACUCCAGGGGAAAACAAUUUCCCUCUGGCUCCCCUGUCUGCUGAGAGCUACUUCCACUCAAUAAAACCUUGCACUCAUUCUGCAAGCCCAUGUGUGAUCUGAUUCUUCUAGUACACCAAGGCAAGAAACCCAGGGAUACAGAAAGCCCUCUGUCCUUGAGACAAGGUAGACGGUCUAAUUGAGCUGACUAACACAAGCUGCCUAUGGAUGGCAAACUAAAAGAUCACCCUGUAACACACGCCCACUGGGGCUUCAGAAGUUGUAAACAUUCACCCCUAGACACUGCCAUGGCAUCAGAGCCCCAC